AGCACUGUGGAGACGCAGACAAACAAAUCCAGGUUGAACCGGUUUCCCCUGUGUGUGUGUGUGUUGAAAUGGAAUGUCUUCAUUCAUAUCACUUUGAAUUGCCAAUUCAUCUCUCUUUUUGG
Caenorhabditis elegans is the source of this 122-nucleotide non-coding RNA. NCBI's taxonomy places the organism in Eukaryota, Metazoa, Nematoda, Chromadorea, Rhabditida, Rhabditidae. The record is from Ensembl.